CAAAGCCCCUCAAAUGGCCGAACAGAAGCUCCAUGAGGGCAAGGGCCUCCCUCCGUCCGCCCGCUGCUGAAUCUCUACCAGGUGCAAUAGCACCCCACUGUGGUGGGUGUUUAAUAAAUGCUUGCGAGUAAACGAGUGCACUUGACCAAUGGACCACACAGCUCGAACUCUCACAGGAUGCGGCUCUAGGACCUGCUGCCUCCAAAUCCUGCAUGAUAUUGGCCUUCCUCACGAACCCACUCCCCCAGAUCUAAAGAACCUG
Molecule: long non-coding RNA, 262 nt
Organism: Lemur catta (Ring-tailed lemur)
Lineage: Eukaryota; Metazoa; Chordata; Mammalia; Primates; Lemuridae
Exons: 3
Source: RefSeq, a predicted model, not a curated record